AAACGAUGUCGUUUUACCGGUGACUUCGUCAACAAUCAGCUGCGGCGAAAUCAACCCUCGAUGUCCAAGUGUCUAGUGGGUUAACAACACAGAUACCGAAAGAAGAAGCCAUUGACGUAUAUCGUGUGGAGUUCCAAAAACAAACUAAUCGCAAUGGCGACGCUCACCGUCCUUCCUCUCCUCAUCUUCUUCAUCCUCUUCCCCCAUUCUUAUUCAGACCCUGAUCCUACUUCUAAAACUUUGGAUUCCAAUAUUUCGGCCGCUCACGCUGAACUCAGCAACUACGGCUUUCCAGUCGGUCUUCUUCCCACCAACGUCAUAGACUAUUCCAUCAAUCAGACCUCUGGAGAAUUUUCCGUCAAACUCGGCUACUCCUGCAAAUUCACGCUCCCUCCCGACAACUACUUGGCCACCUACUCCCCCAAGAUCUCCGGCAAGAUUGUCCAUGGCCACAUCGCCAGCCUUGCCGGCAUUAGGGUUAGGGCUUUCUUCCAGUGGUGGUCCAUCACUGGGAUUCGUUCCUCCGGCGAUAAUUUGGUCUUUGAGGUUGGCGUCGUCACGGCCAAGUACCCGGCCAAGAAUUUCCACGAGACUCCUGUUUGUGAGGGGCAUAGAUCGGUUAUGUAAUUUGUUGUCAACAUUUACAGGUGAAGCAACUGUAUUAAAAGCGCCUAAGGUAUACAUGAUAUAUACAAGGGGCUUUCGGUUACUUUUCCACUGGACUAGGUCGUAUGCUGUGAGGAAAUCCUUAGGGAAUCAAAUGCUCCGUUAGUUGUUUGUAUUGUCAGAAACUUUAAGGGUAAAAGACUAUCAUGUUUCUAUUGUGUAUAUGCCACCACAUUUCAGGGCUAUUGAACUUUUCCUUACAAUUUGGUGUCUUGGAAUAUUCUCCAACUCUUUAUA
Vitis riparia (riverbank grape) is the source of this 903-nucleotide RNA transcript. RefSeq lists it as uncharacterized. NCBI's taxonomy places the organism in Eukaryota, Viridiplantae, Streptophyta, Magnoliopsida, Vitales, Vitaceae. The transcript is spliced from 3 exons. The record is from RefSeq and is a predicted model, not a curated record.